GCCAAGAUCAGCAAUCAUUAUCCCACCCGGGCAAUCAAGCCAAGGUCCGCAUCCCACCCGGGCGAUUAAGCCAAGGUCAGCAAUUAUUAUCCCACCCUGGCAAUCAAGCCAAGGUCCGCAUCCCACCCGAGCUAUCAAGUCAAGGGCCACAUCCCACCCCGGCAAUCAAGCUAAGGACCGCAUCCCACCAGAGCAAUCAAGCCAAGGGCCACAUCCCACCCCGGCAAUCAAGCUAAGGUCCGCAUCCCACCAGAGCAAUCAAGCCAAGGGCCAUAUCCCACCCUUGCAAUCAAGCUAAGGUCCGCAUCCCACCCGGGCAAUCAAGCCAAGGUCAACAUCCCACCCGGGCAAUCAAGCCAAGGUCAGCGAUCAUUAUCCCACCCGGGCAGUUAAGCCAAGGUCAGCAUCCCACCCGGACAGUCAAGCCAAGGUCAGCAACCCUCCCCAUUCCUCCGGGCUUGGGACCGGCUCUUAGUUGGGCUGGCUUGCCCCCCAAGAGGCUGGGUUAACAGUUUUGUUACCCCUUUCUUCACCUCUUUCUACGUACAACAACUUUUGUUUUCACAAUCUCCGUAAAAGAUGCAGUGGAGGGUUCACGGCACCUUCAGUUGUCUUUCAACAACUGUAAUUUCUUGUUUCUUUACUAAUUUCAUCUGUUUCGUUAAUGACUUCCCUUUCCAACGUCUCCGCCUUCUUUUUUGAGGGUAAUUGUGCUUCUUCCUCAAAGUGUGGCCGCGAUUCGUCAUCACUCAACUAUACGUUGUUCUCCAUAGGAUCGUCAUCAAGGUUAGGGUAACGCAUAUAUUGAGGGCAUUUGGUGUUGGCGGCCUCUUCUGACCGCCUGCAGGGGCCGGGGAUCUCCUCGGGGCCCCUCAGUAACUCGGUCUCUGCCGUGAGGGAGCCCAAGGCCUCCCCCUCGGCUCCCGGCCCCCGGCCCUAGCAGGAAGACUGUUUGGCUCUUCACAAAAUGCCAAGACGAAGAUAAAGUUAAUAUAUUUUUUAAGUGUAUUGAUGCUGAUGAAACCGAGUUUGUCAAUUCUAGGAUGGAAAACCGGAUAGACUCCCGACCGUGGAUUCAGCAUCGAAAACCUGUUCCUGCGACACCAUCCGGCAGAGA
Eriocheir sinensis (Chinese mitten crab) is the source of this 1117-nucleotide long non-coding RNA. RefSeq lists it as uncharacterized. The record is from RefSeq and is a predicted model, not a curated record. The transcript is spliced from 3 exons. NCBI's taxonomy places the organism in Eukaryota, Metazoa, Arthropoda, Malacostraca, Decapoda, Varunidae.